This 301-nucleotide ribosomal RNA is filed under the name uncultured bacterium. RNAcentral's name for it is "partial 16S ribosomal RNA". It matches the Rfam family "Bacterial small subunit ribosomal RNA", at positions 509 to 809 of the family's 1533-position model. The record is from RNAcentral.
CAGUCGCCGCGGUAAUACGAGGGGGGCAAGCGUUGUUCGGAAUUAUUGGGCGUAAAGGGUGCGUAGGCGGUUUGGCAAGUUUGGUGUGAAAUCUUCGGGCUCAACUCGAAGUCUGCAUCGAAAACUGCCGGGCUUGAGUAUGGGAGAGGUGAGUGGAAUUUCCGGUGUAGCGGUGAAAUGCGUAGAUAUCGGAAGGAACACCUGUGGCGAAAGCGGCUCACUGGACCAUAACUGACGCUGAUGCACGAAAGCUAGGGGAGCAAACAGGAUUAGAUACCCCGGUAGUCCCUGUCUCUUAUAA